This 106-nucleotide ribosomal RNA is filed under the name uncultured bacterium. RNAcentral's name for it is "partial 16S ribosomal RNA". The record is from RNAcentral.
UCUUCGGAUUGUAAAGCACUUUAAGUUGGGAGGAAGGGCAGUUUCCUAAUACGAAAUUGUUUUGACGUUACCGACAGAAGUUAACGCACCGGCUAACUACUCGUGC